This 337-nucleotide unclassified non-coding RNA is filed under the name soil metagenome. Its description in RNAcentral is "partial contains 5.8S ribosomal RNA, internal transcribed spacer 2, and large subunit ribosomal RNA". The stretch from base 1 to 120 matches the Rfam family "5.8S ribosomal RNA", at positions 35 to 154 of the family's 154-position model. The record is from RNAcentral.
GAUGAAGAACGCAGCGAAAUGCGAUAAGUAAUGUGAAUUGCAGAAUUCAGUGAAUCAUCGAAUCUUUGAACGCACAUUGCGCCCCCUGGCAUUCCGGGGGGCAUGCCUGUCCGAGCGUCAUUUCUGCCCUCAAGCACGGCUUGUGUGUUGGGUGUGGUCCCCCCGGGGACCUGCCCGAAAGGCAGCGGCGACGUCCGUCUGGUCCUCGAGCGUAUGGGGCUUUGUCACUCGCUCGGGAAGGACCUGCGGGGGUUGGUCACCACCAUAUUUUACCACGGUUGACCUCGGAUCAGGUAGGAGUUACCCGCUGAACUUAAGCAUAUCAAUAAGCGGAGGA